UCCGCGCCGCGCGGACCCACCGAGCCCGCGCUCAGACGCCCCAGCUCCGCCGACAGGCCGCUCGCGCCGGGUCCUUCCUCUUCCCCAGGUGCAGGCAGAGCCCCCGGAGCCAUGGCCAGCCCUUCCGGCAGCUCCAAAGCCACUGGCAAGCCCCGAGGCAGGGAUGGCCGGCCCAGGAGAGAGGAGGACGACGUCACUCCCGAAGAGAAGAGGCUGCGGCUGUUGCUGGAGGAGGGAAGCGCACAGCCCGAUGACGGGGAGGACGCACCGCGGCCAGGCAGGAAGGAGACCGGCACCCAGACAGGUGGCGACGGCAGAGGACCUCUGCCUCAGUCUCCUCUUCUGGAAAGUGGGAUUGGAAACCACAUCUGCUUCUCUCCCAGGACUGCUAGGAAGACAAGAUUAGAUGGCAGGAAGGAAAAUACAUGUACAGCCAACUUCCUUGAGGAUUCGUUCUUUUGCAUCAGGGUGUCUCAAACUCCUGCCCUUAAAACACCUGCAAGAGAAUCAUCCAGGUGGCUUGCUCACUCUGCAUGCAGACCCUUUAGAAUCAGAGUCAGAAUCCCUGGGGCUGGAGCCACAAAAUGAAAUGACAUUUCAACAAGUUUGUCAUCACGUAAGAGAGAAUAGCUUGUCUUCUUCUCUCCCAGUAGAUUCUUCAUGAAGAGGCCAUGUGCUAUAUUCCAUGAGAUAUUUCACACUCAAAGAAGACUUCUUUUAUACUCUUUUGAUAAUUUGUCUGGGAAUCACUGUCUUGAUUUAUAAGGGAGUUUGUA
RNAcentral lists this long non-coding RNA (776 nucleotides) under Homo sapiens (human). RNAcentral's name for it is "non-protein coding lnc-UNC93B1-3:2". Lineage: Eukaryota; Metazoa; Chordata; Mammalia; Primates; Hominidae. The record is from RNAcentral.